CAAUAAAGCAACUACAUUUAUUUUGUAGGUGUGAAAAUAUUUCAGACAAGAUCAAACCGAUUCAAUGGUCAUCUGCACAAGGUGAUGGAAAAAAAGCUUUUUACCCCCCUAUGUUUUAACAGGCCACUGGCACUGAGUAGAGGUGUGUGCACGAUCGCCUUUAAAUUCCUAUUCCCGGGACCGUCCUGAAACACCUCCAGGUACUGUACUGAACUGACUCCAGGUACUGUACUGAACUGACUCCAGGUACUGUACUGAACUGACUCCAGGUACUGUACUGAAACACCUCCUGGUACUGUACUGAACUGACUCCAGGUACUGUACUGAACUGACUCCAGGUACUGUACUGAACUGACUCCUGGUACUGUACUGAAACACCUCCUGGUACUGUACUGAACUGACUCCAGGUACUGUACUGAAACACCUCCAGGUACUGUACUGAACUGACUCCAGGUACUGUACUGAACUGACUCCUGGUACUGUACUGAACUGACUCCAGGUACUGUACUGAACUGACUCCUGGUACUGUACUGAAACACCUCCAGGUACUGUACUGAAACACCUCCAGGUACUGUACUGAACUGACUCCAGGUACUGUACUGAACUGACUCCAGGUACUGUACUGAAACACCUCCAGGUACUGUACUGAACUGACUCCUGGUACUGUACUGAACUGACUCCUGGUACUGUACUGAAACACCUCCUGGAUGCUGCUGUAGACAUCCUCCUGCCAUCAUUAAACUAUAAGGCGUUUCUGUGACGUGCUGCGCUCCCAGUUAGAGGAGAUGACCCGUUGAGUGGUCUUAAUAAAACAAAACAAAACCUCUAAUACAAACGCAAGACUCUUCAUCGAUCUUCGUUUCCUUUUCUAAAACAUUUACAGCGUCUAGCAUUGAAGCGCUCACUGCAGACUCACCACCUCCGGGUAAUAUCCCCAGACCCCGAGCACUGGGGAAGAUCAGUGAAGGCCUCGUUCAUAAUUGAUGGUGGAACCAGAGGAGCUGUUUUUCAGGAUUAUUACGAGAGCCGAGUCCAUUCCCACGUGUGCGAAGAGAGAAAUUCACGGCUCAAAGUUUCAUUCAACAUUACACACACAUCUAAGAGCUGAACCAGGCCCUGGGGAGUGUUCUUUAUUGAAACGCUAAAGGCCUUGAGAAGAUUAUUUUGUGGACCAGGACAGGUGCAUCAAACGCCGAACAGAAUAAUAAUCGUCCUCCAGCAGGGUUGUGUCUAUAAAACAGCAGUGCCGCGUCGCAUCGCCAUUCUGCUCACCGUUGUCGCUGUAGCUGUUUAAAAAAGGACAAGUAACGCUCACGAUCAACGAGCGGAUAGAUUUUCUUUGACGUGACUCACAUGGAGCUUAAUUUGCAUUUAAACGUGUGUCGCGUGCCCUCGCUCGUCCCCUCGCGGAUGAACUAUUGAGCGUAAGGUACCGCGAGUUUAUAAUAGUGGCGAUAAGUACACAUAUCGUCGAGUUCACACUUUGUCAGACGAAGUUAAAAUACAACACGGAUUGGUUGAGCGGUUUCGGAAAAAAAAACAACAUAAAGAAACCUUCGAAGAAGCUGCGUUUAACGUAGAUCGCAGCGGAGUUACGAAAUGCAAGUUUACGCUAACUAUCGGCGACAAGACUGACCAUCACUGUGGGUAAAUAAAUCAAAACAAAUCUGCAGCAGUAAAACAUGAUUAGUCGUGUAGUCAAAUUGUGACGUCGCCGCGUACAUGGUCCGAAAAAGAGCGCAGAAAAGAAAAGAAAAGAGGGGAAAAGCCUGACCUACAGUUACCACACUCCCGAAGAUCGCUGUCUGGAAGAAAAGCCAUUCUAGCCAGAGCUGUUAUGAGAACUCUUCCGUAACAUGACCAAUCAAACGGGCUGCACUAUUUCUAGCUCCGCCCCCCACGUCCCUGUUCGGCUUUUCAGCACUUGAUUACAGUAGAUCUCACUAAACGAUGCAAAUAACAGUGAAGAGAGUUUUACCUUGUCAUGUCAUAGUAAUAUUUGUGAUACUUUUUAGUCUUUCUCAUCGGUGCGUAAAAUCUCCCUCGGGUAUAUUGUAUUUAACCAUAGUCUAAGGUACAUGGUGAAUUAUUUAAUGUUUCAUCUGAGCUUUUUUAGUAGCGACGUAACGAGUAUGAAUACACCGUUGGAGAAUGAGCAGGUAAUCGUGUUCUAAACUGAUACAAACACUCAGUACGUUUACAUGGACCACGAUAAUCCGAUAUUAAUCCGAUUGAGACGAUAUUCUGAUUGAGAAACUAGCAUGUGAACAGAGAUUACUGACGACCUUAAUCUGAUUAAAGUCACACUCGGAGUAAACACAGAUGGAAUUACGUCAUGUGGCGUAUUCCUGUUUUAUUCACGUUAUCGACGUGCGUUACAGACGCGUACACGCCUUAAUCACACUAUUAACGUCGUGCGAGAGUUUUCACCGUAUUGUGCGACAGGACACGUACACACACGGCAGCGCUCGAGCGUUUUACGGCGAACAAGAGAACGCGUCCCAAACCGCGUACUUACGCGCGGUGUAGUAGGCGAGAUGCAUGUAUUUAUGUAAGUACGCGGUUCGGGACGCAGCCCACGGCUUCAAUCGGUCGUCUGUUUGCACGUACAGCGCGACUAAUAAUCAACCGCACUUGAAGCUUUCAUAAAAAAAUUAUAAAUGAAACACCCGAAACUGUAUAUGGUACCAUAACGAAGAUGAACUGUAUGUCGAUAGGUGAAAUUCUGGAGGGAUGACGGACAUAUAUGUAUAUUUAAUAAUAAUAAUAAUAAUAAUAAUAAUAA
Molecule: long non-coding RNA, 2785 nt
Organism: Ictalurus punctatus (channel catfish)
Lineage: Eukaryota; Metazoa; Chordata; Actinopteri; Siluriformes; Ictaluridae
Source: Ensembl